This 253-nucleotide ribosomal RNA is filed under the name uncultured bacterium. Its description in RNAcentral is "partial 16S ribosomal RNA". It matches the Rfam family "Bacterial small subunit ribosomal RNA", at positions 524 to 776 of the family's 1533-position model. The record is from RNAcentral.
UACGAAGGGUGCAAGCGUUACUCGGAAUUACUGGGCGUAAAGCGCACGUAGGCGGAUCGUUAAGUCGGGGGUGAAAUCCUGGAGCUCAACUCCAGAACUGCCUUCGAUACUGGCGAUCUUGAGUCCGGAAGAGGUGAGUGGAACUCCUAGUGUAGAGGUGGAAUUCGUAGAUAUUAGGAAGAACACCAGUGGCGAAGGCGGCUCACUGGUCCGGUACUGACGCUGAGGUGCGAAAGCGUGGGGAGCAAACAGG